GAUGAACGCUAGCUACAGGCUUAACACAUGCAAGUCGAGGGGUAGCAGGGUAGCAAUACCGCUGAUGACCGGCGCACGGGUGAGUAACACGUAUCCAACCUUCCCAUAACUCAGGAAUAGCCUUUCGAAAGAAAGAUUAAUACCUGAUAGCACUUAAGAAAGGCAUCUUUUUUAAGUUAAAGAUUUAUCGGUUAUGGAUGGGGAUGCGUUCCAUUAGAUAGUUGGUGAGGUAACGGCUCACCAAGUCUUCGAUGGAUAGGGGUUCUGAGAGGAAGGUCCCCCACAUUGGUACUGAGACACGGACCAAACUCCUACGGGAGGCAGCAGUGAGGAAUAUUGGUCAAUGGGCGAGAGCCUGAACCAGCCAAGUAGCGUGAAGGAUGAAGGUCCUAUGGAUUGUAAACUUCUUUUAUAGUAGAAUAAAGUGAGCCACGUGUGGUUUUUUGUAUGUAUACUAUGAAUAAGGAUCGGCUAACUCCGUGCCAGCCGCCGCCGUAA
Molecule: ribosomal RNA, 498 nt
Filed under: uncultured bacterium
Lineage: Bacteria
Description: partial 16S ribosomal RNA
Rfam family: Bacterial small subunit ribosomal RNA
Source: RNAcentral